RNAcentral lists this ribosomal RNA (611 nucleotides) under Papiliotrema flavescens. Its description in RNAcentral is "eukaryotic LSU rRNA". It matches the Rfam family "Eukaryotic large subunit ribosomal RNA", at positions 67 to 669 of the family's 3401-position model. Lineage: Eukaryota; Fungi; Basidiomycota; Tremellomycetes; Tremellales; Rhynchogastremaceae. The record is from RNAcentral.
GGGCCAAAUUCAAAUAGUACGGCGAGUGACCGGGAAGAGCUCAAAUUUGAAAUCUGGCGUGCUCAGUGCGUCCGAGUUGUAAUCUAUAGAGUCGUUUUCCGUGCCGGACUGUGUCCAAGUCCCUUGGAACAGGGUAUCAAAGAGGGUGAUAAUCCCGUACUUGACACAAUGACCGGUGCUCUGUGAUACGUCUUCUACGAGUCGAGUUGUUUGGGAAUGCAGCUCAAAAUGGGUGGUGAGUUCCAUCUAAAGCUAAAUAUUGGCGAGAGACCGAUAGCGAACAAGUACCGUGAGGGAAAGAUGAAAAGCACUUUGGAAAGAGAGUUAAACAGUACGUGAAAUUGUUAAAAGGGAAACGAUUGAAGUCAGUCGUGACUGAGAGGCUCAGCCGGUUCUGCCGGUGUAUUCCCCUCAGUCGGGUCAACAUCAGUUUUGUUCGGUGGAUAAGGGCAGUUGGAAGGUGGCACCCUCGGGUGUGUUAUAGCCAGCUGUCGCAUACAUCGGAUGAGACUGAGGAAUGCAGCUCGCCUUUAUGGCCGGGGUUCGCCCACGUUCGAGCUUAGGAUGUUGACAUAAUGGCUUUAAACGACCCGAAUUGAAACACGAACCCA